This 497-nucleotide ribosomal RNA is filed under the name uncultured bacterium. RNAcentral's name for it is "partial 16S ribosomal RNA". It matches the Rfam family "Bacterial small subunit ribosomal RNA", at positions 28 to 507 of the family's 1533-position model. The record is from RNAcentral.
GAUGAACGCUGGCGGCGUGCCUAAUACAUGCAAGUCGAGCGAACGGACGAGAAGCUUGCUUUUCUGAUGUUAGCGGCGGACGGGUGAGUAACACGUGGAUAACCUACCUAUAAGACUGGGAUAACUUCGGGAAACCGGAGCUAAUACCGGAUAAUAUUUUGAACCGCAUGGUUCAAAAGUGAAAGACGGUCUUGCUGUCACUUAUAGAUGGAUCCGCGCUGCAUUAGCUAGUUGGUAAGGUAACGGCUUACCAAGGCAACGAUGCAUAGCCGACCUGAGAGGGUGAUCGGCCACACUGGAGCUGAGACACGGUCCAGACUCCUACGGGAGGCAGCAGUAGGGAAUCUUCCGCAAUGGGCGAAAGCCUGACGGAGCAACGCCGCGUGAGUGAUGAAGGUCUUCGGAUCGUAAAUCUCUGUUAUUAGGGAAGAACAUAUGUGUAAGUAACUGUGCACAUCUUGACGGUACCUAAUCAGAAAGCCACGGCUAACUACGUG